GAACGCUAGCUACAGGCUUAACACAUGCAAGUCGAGGGGCAUCAGUUUGGUUUGCUUGCAAACCAAAGCUGGCGACCGGCGCACGGGUGAGUAACGCGUAUCCAACCUGCCCAUCACUUGGGGAUAACCUUGCGAAAGUAAGACUAAUACCCAAUGACGUCUCUAGAAGACAUCUGAAGGAGAUUAAAGAUUUAUCGGUGAUGGAUGGGGAUGCGUCUGAUUAGCUUGUUGGCGGGGUAACGGCCCACCAAGGCGACGAUCAGUAGGGGUUCUGAGAGGAAGGCCCCCCCACAUUGGAACUGAGACACGGUCCAAACUCCUACGGGAGGCAGCAGUGAGGAAUAUUGGUCAAUGGACGAGAGUCUGAACCAGCCAAGUAGCGUGCAGGAUGACGGCCCUAUGGGUUGUAAACUGCUUUUAUAAGGGAAUAAAGUGAGUCUCGUGAGACUUUUUGCAUGUACCUUAUGAAUAAGGACCGGCUAAUUCCGUG
Molecule: ribosomal RNA, 490 nt
Filed under: uncultured bacterium
Lineage: Bacteria
Description: bacterial SSU rRNA
Rfam family: Bacterial small subunit ribosomal RNA
Source: RNAcentral